This 506-nucleotide ribosomal RNA is filed under the name uncultured bacterium. RNAcentral's name for it is "partial 16S ribosomal RNA". It matches the Rfam family "Bacterial small subunit ribosomal RNA", at positions 28 to 523 of the family's 1533-position model. The record is from RNAcentral.
GAUGAACGCUAGCGGCAGGCCUAACACAUGCAAGUCGAGGGGUAACUAGAGUGAUAGCAAUAUUACUUUGGCUAGACCGGCGCACGGGUGCGUAACACGUAUGCAACCUACCUUAUACUGGGGAAUAACUUCGAGAAAUCGGCGCUAAUACCCCAUAACAUUGCGAAGAGGCAUCUCUUUGCAAUUAAAGCUCCGGCGGUGUAAGAUGGGCAUGCGUCCAAUUAGCUAGUUGGUGAGGUAACGGCUCACCAAGGCUACGAUUGGUAGGGGUUCUGAGAGGAUGAUCCCCCACACUGGUACUGAGACACGGACCAGACUCCUACGCGAGGCAGCAGUGAGGAAUAUUGCGAAAUGGACGAAAGUCUGACGCAGCCAUGCCGCGUGCAGGAUGACGGCCCUAUGGGUUGUAAACUGCUUUUGUACGGGAAUAAACCCUUCUACGUGUAGGAGGCUGAAGGUACCGUAAGAAUAAGCACCGGCUAACUCCGUGCCAGCCGCCGCGGUAA